RNAcentral lists this ribosomal RNA (271 nucleotides) under uncultured archaeon. RNAcentral's name for it is "partial 16S ribosomal RNA". It matches the Rfam family "Archaeal small subunit ribosomal RNA", at positions 477 to 747 of the family's 1478-position model. The record is from RNAcentral.
CAGCGCCACGAGUGGGGACCAUUUUUAUUGGGCCUAAAGCGUCCGUAGCCUGUUUAGUAAAUCUUCUGUGAAAUCAUUGGGCUCAACUUAAUGAAUUGCAAAAGAGACUGCUAGACUGGGAACCGGGAGGAGUCAGAGGAAUUCUGGGGGGCGCGGUAAAAUGCGAUAAUCCCUAGAGGACCACCUGUGGCGAAGGCGUCUGACUAGAACGGGUUCGACGGUGAGGGACGAAAGCUAGGGGAGCAAACCGGAUUAGAUACCCGCGUAGUCC